Molecule: unclassified non-coding RNA, 338 nt
Filed under: soil metagenome
Description: partial contains 5.8S ribosomal RNA, internal transcribed spacer 2, and large subunit ribosomal RNA
Rfam family: 5.8S ribosomal RNA (bases 1-120)
Source: RNAcentral
GAUGAAGAACGCAGCGAAAUGCGAUACGUAAUGUGAAUUGCAGAAUUCCGCGAAUCAUCGAAUCUUUGAACGCACAUUGCGCCCGCCAGUAUUCUGGCGGGCAUGCCUGUCUGAGCGUCAUUUCAACCCUCAAGCAACUUCUGCUUGGUGUUGGGGAUCGGCCGUCAAACGCCGCCCCCGAAAUCUAUUGGCGAUCUCGCUGUAGCUUCCUAUGCGUAGUAGUAACAUCUCGCAUCUGGAGAGCGGCGCGGUCAUGCCGUAAAACACCCAACUUCUCAGGUUGACCUCAGAUCAGGUAGGAAUACCCGCUGAACUUAAGCAUAUCAAUAAGCGGAGGA